CAAAACAUAGUCUCUGCGGUAAAAAGGAAUUCAAAGACUGAUGAUAAUUGUGACAAGUCUUAUUUUUAAGUAUUGAUGUAAUAUAGGUGUGUCCAAUUGGUUAUUUGUAAGCUAUUGGAGCGGUUUUGCUGAGAAGCACCAAGAAUGAAUAGACCUUUAUGAAUAACUAUCGGAGUUUUUAGAGCUGCAGAAGUGAGCUGUUGCCAUUUUAUCUGUUUUGUGGGCUGAGCAUCCCACUGACUACCCUAUGAGACCUACCUCGCUACCUAAUCUAUGGUUUUUUUUAUUAUUUCUCAUCCUUGAUCAUCUCUCGGUAGGCUGACUCCUGGUCCAGCUAGAUGGAGACAGCGCAUAAAAGAUGGUGACUUGGAUGAAUCUCCGGAGCAGUUAGAAAGAAAGGAAUUGAUCAGAUCAACUGGUGGACUGAUGCUUCCCAAACCAAGAAACCUUUUAUUGGAAAAUCUGGAAGAAGAUGAAAAGCGGACUACUAUGAAUGUUUAUACAAAGGAUACUGGAAAGUAAAUUUCUCCGAAGGCUGCUUUUUCUUUCCAACCCCGAAAAAAUUGAAUUAUGGAUUUAACAAGUGAAUACUUUUCUCAACGCUUUGACAAACCUUCAUCAAACAAACUUUCCACCAAACGAAAACCAGGCAAAUCAAAGGAAUAAGAGCAGUAGCAACAGUAAUCAAAGUAAAAGGCGCUCCUUCCUGAGUGAAUUUUUCGGAGCAAGUCCAUCAUCCAAGAAAAUCAAUCUUCCGAAAGAAAGUGCUCUCAAAACAGCAACAAGCACCUCAACAAUAUCCAGUGAUGAAUGCUCCAGAGACUUGUCUCCAUUUCAAAGUUCAGAUCAGCAACCGGAGACGAAGCAUGAUGUGAACAUAUACCUAGAAGAUACUUUAAUCCUACCAAAAUCUCAUCCAAAAAAUCCAUUUGAACCAAACAGCAACAUUUAUCUGGAUGAAACUAUCUCAUGCUUUCAGGAGGCCAGUACAGCACCUUCUUCUAAAAAGGUAGAAAAACCAAAAAGAGUGAGCCUGCAUCUAGCAAUGAUACUUCAGAAGAUGUUAGGUGGAAGAGACUAAAUGAACUCAAACGUUGCCCCAUAUGCCUGAAGAAAUUUGAAAAAUUAGUCCCUCACAUCAAAUCUUGUGCCACUAAGCAAAGUAUCUCAACGGACCAACUGUUCAAAGCAAUAGAUUGCAACUGAAACAAAAUGAAGAAAGAGCUGCGCUUGGUUUUCUCUCUUCCCAAACUGUCAGGCCAACAACUCGCAGAACAACUUCAGCAUCGAAGGUAGACUUUUAAUGAUUUUUUUUUGUUUACCUCCGUUCUAAUUUUUAAGGAAUUUUAAAGUAAUACUAUGUAUUUCCAUUCAAAGAACGAUGUUCAAAAAUAAUCAUUGAUGAUGGAUGUAUGUUUCUAUAAGUUAAGUUCACAACAGGUCCAUCCAGACCCUCUGAAGUACCUAAUUACUACCCUUGCUUUGUGCCUGUUGGAUAUAGGUUAUAUAUCAUCUAUGGCCACACUGUACAAAAUUAAAAACGUAUACUGAGGCUCGUGUUGUAGCCAAACCUCGAUUUUUGACUAUCACCAGCCAUUAAAAUAAGGUUGCAAGUCUACUAAAGUAUGUACUUUGUAAGGGUGUCCGUCUCUUCUUUUGGUACAAUCAGCGUAAUUAAUUAGGAUGCUAUACAUUUAUCCAUGUACUGCUUGGUAGAAUUGUUCGCUUAAAUGAUAGUGGGGCCAGAUUUUUCUUUUACUUAAGCUACAACCAUAACUUAGUAAAUUUUUUAACUGAGUGAGUUAAUCUUGAACUCAAACUCAAGUGACAGUUUCUAAGUUGAUCUUUCAAAUGAAAACAUGAUUUAGCAUCUUGUCAGCUCAGUUUUUAAAUUACAGAACUAACCAGACUACUUUUUGGAUAUUCUCUGUAUCAUUGAUAUCUGCAUGUUUUUUCCUCUGUUUCUUUCAGGUUCAAAGAUGCCAGUUUGGAGCUGGCACUUGCUCUUCAA
This 2011-nucleotide long non-coding RNA is filed under the name Bemisia tabaci. Its description in RNAcentral is "lncRNA ENSSSA3NGG006604". The record is from RNAcentral. Lineage: Eukaryota; Metazoa; Arthropoda; Insecta; Hemiptera; Aleyrodidae.